AAGACUAUAGACCUGCGGAGUACCUGCGGAGGGAUCAUUAAAGAGAAAACUGCCCUUUGGGUAGAUUUCCCACCCUUUGUUUACUUUACCUUUGUUGCUUUGGCAGGCCCGUCUUCUGACCACCGGCUUCUAGCUGGUCCGUGCCUGCCAGAGGACCCCCAACUCUUGAUUUUAAGUUGUCCGAGUCUUAUAUAAUAGUAAAAACUUUCAGCAACGGAUCUCUAGAUCGGAAGAGCACAC
This 240-nucleotide unclassified non-coding RNA is filed under the name soil metagenome. RNAcentral describes it as "partial contains 5.8S ribosomal RNA, internal transcribed spacer 2, and large subunit ribosomal RNA". The record is from RNAcentral.